Molecule: ribosomal RNA, 495 nt
Filed under: uncultured bacterium
Lineage: Bacteria
Description: partial 16S ribosomal RNA
Rfam family: Bacterial small subunit ribosomal RNA
Source: RNAcentral
GACGAACGCUGGCGGCGUGCCUAAUACAUGCAAGUAGAACGCUGAAGGAGGAGCUUGCUUCUCUGGAUGAGUUGCGAACGGGUGAGUAACGCGUAGGUAACCUGCCUGGUAGCGGGGGAUAACUAUUGGAAACGAUAGCUAAUACCGCAUAAGAGUAGAUGUUGCAUGACAUUUGCUUAAAAGGUGCAAUUGCCUCACUACCAGAUGGACAUGCGUUGUAUUAGCUAGUUGGUGGGGUAACGGCUUACCAAGGCGACGAUACAUAGCCGACCUGAGAGGGUGAUCGGCCACACUGGGACUGAGACACGGCCCAGACUCCUACGGGAGGCAGCAGUAGGGAAUCUUCGGCAAUGGACGGAAGUCUGACCGAGCAACGCCGCGGGAGUGAAGAAGGUUUUCGGAUCGUAAAGCUCUGUUGUAAGAGAAGAACGAGUGUGAGAGUGGAAAGUUCACACUGUGACGGUAUCUUACCAGAAAGCGACGGCUAACUACGUG